GAUGAACGCUGGCGGCGUGCUUAACACAUGCAAGUCGAACGGAGUUAUUUUUAAAGCUUGCUCUUUAAAUAACUUAGUGGCGGACGGGUGAGUAACGCGUGGGUAACCUGCCUCAUACAGGGGGAUAACAGUUGGAAACGACUGCUAAUACCGCAUAAGCGCACGGUAUCGCAUGGUACAGUGUGAAAAACUCCGGUGGUAUGAGAUGGACCCGCGUCUGAUUAGCCAGUUGGUGGGGUAACGGCCUACCAAAGCGACGAUCAGUAGCCGACCUGAGAGGGUGACCGGCCACAUUGGGACUGAGACACGGCCCAAACUCCUACGGGAGGCAGCAGUGGGGAAUAUUGCACAAUGGGGGAAACCCUGAUGCAGCGACGCCGCGUGAACGAAGAAGUAUUUCGGUAUGUAAAGUUCUAUCAGCAGGGAAGAUAAUGACGGUACCUGACUAAGAGGCACCGGCUAAAUACGUG
This 470-nucleotide ribosomal RNA is filed under the name uncultured bacterium. RNAcentral's name for it is "bacterial SSU rRNA". It matches the Rfam family "Bacterial small subunit ribosomal RNA", at positions 28 to 507 of the family's 1533-position model. The record is from RNAcentral.